UGGUUUUGGAGCAGACAAAAGGGUUCCGAUUCCAUAUCCGUUCGUUGAAUAACCGUAGCGAUGGUUCGCGGCGUAAUCCAACCGGAGAAGAAGAGGAGGGCGAAGAUGAAGCGAGAGGGUUGUUAGAAGUAGACGAAGUGACGAGUGAAGCGCGCGGCCUGAAGCUUGAAAGGGAAUAUCGAUGAGGCUGAAUAAGGGGACGAAGAAAGCAAGUGUCUGACGGAAGAGACUGCAUUAUUUCACUCUCUCUGUCUCAGCGACGACGGAAAGGAGAGGAAGAAUGAAACUUAGAUGGCGACGUGAUUAUGAAGCUCAGUUUAGUGUUUCCGGCAUCGGCCGAGCUCCGGUGACGGCGAUUUGAAUCCCGCCAAAACCCUUGGUCGGUGGAGUCUACUGUCUAGAAGAGAUGGGAUCGAGA
RNAcentral lists this unclassified non-coding RNA (418 nucleotides) under Hevea brasiliensis (rubber tree). The record is from RNAcentral. Lineage: Eukaryota; Viridiplantae; Streptophyta; Magnoliopsida; Malpighiales; Euphorbiaceae.